RNAcentral lists this long non-coding RNA (202 nucleotides) under Helianthus annuus (common sunflower). RNAcentral describes it as "sRNA HanXRQr2_Chr10g0446391". The record is from RNAcentral. Lineage: Eukaryota; Viridiplantae; Streptophyta; Magnoliopsida; Asterales; Asteraceae.
UUCAAUGUCUUCUUCAAACUCUGCUGGUAUAUAACAUUUCCAAGUGGGAGGAACGUGUAUGCAUAAACAGUGGAAGAAAGUUUUUCAAACCUAAAGUCAGUGGAUCCAUUACACCUGCUGUUGGAAUGUUUUUUAAGUCAUUUGAUGAGGCUUUUGCGUUUUAUCAGAGAUAUGCACUUGCUGCAGGUUUUUCUGCAAGAAA